AGGCUAAAUAACGUGAGGAGACCGAUAGAUUACAAGUAGUGUGAACGAAAGAUGAAAAGAACUCUAAAACAGAGGGUGAAAAGUUCCUGAACUUGCUUAGGGGUAAAGGCUAUUUAUAGUACCCGUCUUGAAACACGGAUUAGGGAGUUUAUCUGUAGUGCGAGUCUUUGCACGUUAACUGUAAAGGCGUAGAGAAAGCAACUGGCGUUUGCAUGGCUACUGAGCAUUACUGAUAGGACCCGAAAGGUGGUGAACUUUGCCUGCACAGGUUGAAGUCAGGGGAAACUCUGAUGGAGGACCGUACGGGUUAUUGAUGUGCAAAUCAUUUUUCUGAUGUAGGUAAAGGUGCGAAAGACUCAUCGAACCACCUAAUAGCUGGUUUCCUCCGAAGUUUCCCUCAGGAUAGCUGUAAUGCAUUUAGUUAAGGGGAGUAGAGAUAUGGGUAGAGGUGCAGGGAGCCUUCGGGUUCUCAACUUAUUUCCAAACUUCGAACCUCCUUGUUAGGCAUUUACCUAACUGGAAAUGCUUAAAUGAAUUAGCGUUACAAGUGGGCUCUGACCGGUAAGCGGUCAUGGCGAAAUGGGAUGAACCAUACGUCUGAAUAAGGUGCCGAAAUGUACUAUCACUGAUACCAUAAAGGGAGUCCAUGUAUUUAGACAGCAGGUCGGUGCCCCUAAAAGCAGGUAUCCGCUAAAGAGUGUGUUAAAACUCACCUGCCGAAUACUAGGGCCCCGAAAAUGAAUGGCGCAUAUAGUACUACCGAUCUCAGACAUCAGUUCUAUUGAACUGAGAGUAGGGGGAUGUGGACAUUUU
Molecule: non-coding RNA, 813 nt
Filed under: Trichomonas vaginalis G3
Lineage: Eukaryota; Parabasalia; Trichomonadida; Trichomonadidae
Description: Eukaryotic large subunit ribosomal RNA
Rfam family: Eukaryotic large subunit ribosomal RNA
Source: Rfam by way of RNAcentral